This 258-nucleotide long non-coding RNA is filed under the name Marmota monax (woodchuck). Lineage: Eukaryota; Metazoa; Chordata; Mammalia; Rodentia; Sciuridae. The record is from RNAcentral.
GUCAAGGCAUAGGCCAAUAAUCUGGGACAUUUCUAACUAUUAUUAAAAGCUAACUAAGCAGAAACAGCUCAAAGCAAAACGUGAACUGAAAGUAAAAAUGCUUGCUUAUGCAUAAGCCAAGAUACAUUCUUCUUAUCUAAUUGUAGCUACGUAAUAUUUUGUUUCUUUGAAUAAUAAUUCCUGUUUUGUAACCACAAAGUAUUGUGAGCCUGUCAAAAUGAAAAGUAUAUAUGAUUAACUUCACAAGUAAAGAUUGGG